GCUGAACAGUCGCAGGGUGAGGGAGAGUUUGUGCAGGCACGGAUCCAGUAUCCACUCAGGAAAUGCUGAACUGUGGCAAUAACUGAGCUAUUCUGAGAAGCAGAAGAAAAACGUUCAGUGGCUUUCUGAACUCUGUUCUGUGAACUCUGAGGCCUCGCACUGGGGAGAUAACAUUUAAAAAUAAAUAAACAAAAAUGCCAUCGAGGAUCGCUUUCUGCGACACUUCAAAAGCUGUUGGCACUUUAAGGCUGCUCAGAAUGGACAAAUAUGGCCUGUUCACUCGAAAACUUGAGAGAUUCCUCCAGGAAAGCCGAGGGCUCUGCACAGCACUGCAGCAGAACAUAAGUCACAGUCUAACCGAGUCGACACCCGUCACAGAGCAAAUUAGCCCACUUGAGCUGAUCAAAGAAACUGCUGCGGACAUUUCUCGAAUCUUCCACCACAAUAACACAAUUUCUGUGAGCUGAGAUUCAGGCUACGUGCGGUACCCUAAAGCAACAUGUUUUUCAUCAGGAUGGUGGUUACUCCUCAUCCUAGUUUAAAAGUUGGGCUGUUGUACCCUCGAAAAACAUCUAGGUCACAUCUGGCAACUUUUCAGAUGCUGGGAAUCCCUCGCAAAUAUGUUUCGGGGCUAGUAGCACACGUUAAAAAGCUCUGAGAGCUGGUGCAGCUCCUCUUCCCUCCAUUUUUCCCAUUAAUCGGCCAGCCUGCCAGCAUUCCUGGCUCUCAAAGGAACCACGCUGUCCUACUGAACUUCAGACAAGCAGUGAAAGCGUAGCAGAGUUGGGGCGGGCAGGCGAAUGAAAGAGAGGCUGACAAAAACUGAGUAAAAGGGCGAGGGGAAAAAAAAAGCAUCUACAGUUUGUCACCGCCGACCAGACAAGGACAGCUGGCAAGGAGGCCACUGAGCUAAGAGACAGAGAGGGCUCCUCUGUACUGACAUCAACAUGCUUCACACACCGACGGCUGAGACACUGCAGCUGCUCAGUCCAGUCUGUGUGUGUGUGUGUGUGUGUGUGUGUGUGUGUGUGUGUGUGUGUGUGUGUGUGUGUGUGUGUGUGUGUGUGUGUGUGUGUGUGUGUGUGUGUGUGUGUGUGGGGCGGGGUGAUGACAGGAGGCAGAAAAUAAGAUGUGAAGCCUUUAGGAAGAGUAGAAAAACAGAAAUUCAUAGUAAAGUCAAACAGAGAUAAAUGAUUUCUGUUCUUUUUCAUCCGUCUGUGGAAGAUCACGGUGAACUGUGAUCAUAACAGCAGGUAUCCUCGUGCGAUGAUACUUAAGCAUCAAAACACUCCAAAAAACACCCAAUUUAGUUAGAAUGUAGGAAAAGUUGCAAACUAAAAAAAAAAAAAAAAAAAGAAGAAGAGAGGGUAAGUGUAGAUUCUGAAGGGUAUCGCUUCAUUUUUUGUCGUCAUGUGACGGCAUGACUUGGCUCUAGAAGCUUCUAGCUUUGGUCAUUUUUUUCCCCCGGUUCUGCUUUCCAAAACCUUCACAUCAUUUUCUUUUCUUGUACCAGCAGACUUUGGAUUCCAGACAAAGCGUAGCGCGGCUUGUUUUCUCUUCGCGGCACCCCGUGGCGCACGUCGAACCAAUUCUAAACUGGGCAGCAGUGCAGACGGUGAAGGUUUAUUUGUAAAACUGACUAAUUAUGGCUUUUUUAAAAAGGCUGAUUAAACUCAACUUAAGAGGCUGCUGUUUUUGGAGCGCUGCGAGUGAACUUAACAAGAUCCAGGAGGUUAAAAUACAAUGUGGCAUAAGAACGCACAGUGAAGGCAGAAAUUUGUACUAAAAUGAAUACAGAUGUGAAACAUGCACAUGAACUGAUGAUGGAUUCUAAUAUAAUUAGAUCAAAGACAAAGCAAUAUACUGAACAUUAGGGAAUCGAGAACCGAUUCUUGUAGAGAACUGAUUUCUAGUAGUUUCAUUCCUUGGAAUUUUUAGUCUUGUCCUUUAUAAAUUUUAUUUACAAAGGACAAGAGCACAAUGGUAACGUGGAAACUGCAUCCAAGACAGAAACAGCUGCAUUUUGUUGCUAACACAACUUUGGGUCUUUGCAAGCACCUGCACAGACAGCAUGCUAAAGCUAAACUAGCCAAGAACCCAGAGUGACAUUAGCUGACUGACUGCUAACCCCAGCCCAGCAGCCAGACGCUCCAGAUACCUCCAACAUGCACAAACAUUUGAACCACAGCGUGUAAUGAAUUUGUACAAAUGUAAUGUUUUUGUUAUGAUUCUUAGCGAUGGUAGUGUCUCUGAGAGCAGAGCCAAUGAGAACCCACUGAGAAUCGAUAAGGAAUCGAAUCAAUAAGAGAUACUGACAAUGGAAUUGCCAAAUUCUAAUGAAUUCCUGUCUUUAUUCACCAUCAUUACUUAACUUUUUAUAUUGGCCUUCAUUAUUUGUCUAAUCUUUUCUAAAAGUAGACCUAAUAAGAUUCUGACCAUAAGAAGAUUCGACUGGUUCUUUUGUCCAACCAACUACUGUCCAAAAAUGUCACUGAAAAAUAUUUCCAAGAGAGAAAAGCAGCAAAUCCUCAAAGCUGAAACCAGCAAAUGACUGGUAUUUUCCUCUCAUCAACACUGUUGAAUAAAUUAAUAGAUCGCCUAAUUGUUUGAGUGUUUAUCCAAUCAAUGAUUGGAAUCAAAACAAAUGACGCAGAUGAAUGCAAACAAAGCUGAACAAUUUAAAUUUCCCUGCAAAUCUCUUCUUUCUUCCGGACUCAUCAGCUUUAAGAGUUUAUUUGCCCUUCAAGCAGGAAGGCUGAAGCCGCCUGGAGGCCAACAGCGGCCAAAUUCUGCUCUCGUAUCGAGCUGCUUCCUGUGAAUGAAUCCGACUGUGUGAAUGUGAGGGAAGGAAAAAAAAAAGAAACGUGUUUCCAGUCAACCGUAAAAUGGUGGAAAAGGUAUUUCAAAGUAGCUUGCUACUACAGGUCACUGCACCUUCGAUUACUGCAGGAGGGAGAGAGAGAGAGGGAGGGAGUGUAUGUGUGUGUGUGUGUGUGUGUGUGUGUGUGUGCGUGCGUGUGCGUGUGUGUGUAAAAGCAUAGGUCUCAGCUGACUGAAGGUGUGUAAACUGUACAAACACUGGCCAGAGCUGGACUUGACUUGUUUGGACGCUAAGAGAGACACAGUACACCAAACUGUGCUGCCUUACAAAGCUAUCAGGAAUGUGUUCUGUUACAUGCAUGUCACAAAAACAGAAUACACAAAAAAAAAUAAUAAAAUAACUACUCAUAUUUUUUGCAGGAUUCAAGAAAAUAAAAUAAAGCCAAGUAUAUACCACUGUGCUCCAGUCACCUCUGCCUUCUUUCUGCUCCCAUACUGGGAUCUGUAACACUGUAGUGGAAAGAGACUGCUGAUAGCAUCACUAACUACUGCUGCAUCACCACUGCAUGUGCACGCGCGUGUACGUGUGAAGAGUUACUGCAUCUUCACUCUUAUCCAUCUGCUGCCAACACUGCAUGCGGUCCUGCAGCAACAACACCGACUUGUCUUUCCUGCCUCUCCUCUUAUACUGAAGACAUGCUUUUUCCUCUCUGACGCUCCUUGCCUCUUUAUCUAUUUGACUUCCACUCUCGUGUCUCAUGCAGUCAAUGACAGCGUGGAGCUUGUUCGGAGUCGCUAAAUUUGCAUGGAGCAGUCUUGACCUCAGCUCUGUGUAAAUGAGUUUGAGCAGCACAGGACAUCUUGUUCACAUUUCUUGCCUUAAAUGAUUUUAAAAGCUGGACAAUGCAAGUUUUUUGCAAAUGUGAGCUUCCCAUUACUGCAGCUCCCAAUCAGGUCUUAACUGCCUUCUUCCUCUCUGCCCUUAACUACCUCUCUCCCAUUUUCUCCCCUCCUGCUCCUUGUUUUCUCCUCCCACCCGUCCCUUCCCUACAAAACACCACGUCUUUCAUUUCCAUCACUUUCUCUUCUCUAAAUUUAACCUCCUCCUCUCUCCCCUCAUUACCCUUGUGAUAUCACCCUGAUGGCCAGCUUCUUCAGAAACACCCAGCCCCUUCUCUGAUAUUUCCACCCUUAUGCCUUUAUUA
This is a long non-coding RNA of Oreochromis niloticus (Nile tilapia), 4025 nucleotides long. RefSeq lists it as uncharacterized. NCBI's taxonomy places the organism in Eukaryota, Metazoa, Chordata, Actinopteri, Cichliformes, Cichlidae. The record is from RefSeq and is a predicted model, not a curated record. The transcript has 2 exons.